RNAcentral lists this transfer RNA (55 nucleotides) under Pachydactylus gaiasensis. RNAcentral describes it as "partial tRNA-Cys". Lineage: Eukaryota; Metazoa; Chordata; Lepidosauria; Squamata; Gekkonidae. The record is from RNAcentral.
UCGAAAUGCAAGUUCGGAGAGGGCACCUUAAGAGGUGCCGGGGCUUCUCCCGUUU